AGGGGAAUAGCUGGGUCAAAUGGUGGUUCCAUUCCUGGGUUUCCGAGGAAUCUCUAUACUGCUUUCCAAAUUGGCCACACCAAUUUGCGGUCCCACAAGCAAU
RNAcentral lists this microRNA precursor (103 nucleotides) under Marmota monax (woodchuck). The record is from RNAcentral. Lineage: Eukaryota; Metazoa; Chordata; Mammalia; Rodentia; Sciuridae.